UACUGGGAUAUCGAGCGAGAAAAAAUACAACUUCUUUUGUGUAGAAAGCUAGGGUUUACAAAAUCGUUUUAGGCAUAUUACCUACACUAGAAAGCUCUCUCUCUCUCGCUUUGUCUCCAUCACCGUCGGGAACAGGAGCACCACCGCUAUCGCACACAAGCACCACUGUCGAUCCACCAUUGGAGCAUUACCCAGGGGCUUAUGUUGGUGAAACUGCUUGUCAACAAAUAUCAUCCAUAUGGUUGUCUUAAAUAAAAAUGUUGGUGAUGCGAAUGUAUCUUAAUUUUGUGUCCUUGGGCGCCCUUGGUUUGAGUCCCUGUACAUAUGAGUAUAUGUUCUGCUUUCCUUGAUGUCAUUUGGGGAUAGUAUUCUACGGGCAUGUAUCUUGACUAUUUCUACUUGACCUGAGGGAAAGAAUCAAGCUGAAGCAAGUUUUAUUCUUCCUGAGUUUAACAAGCUAGCAGCGGAGGUCAAAUUGACUGUAUGAUCAUAGUCUGGGUGAGUACAAUUUCUGCUAGCUACUCCAGAAUUUGGUCAUAAUCCUAUAGCUUACCUCCAACUCGAGAACCAAUAUGAGACAUGCUUGUAAAAGUUUUGACUAAAUUUUUCUAAUUUUUAAAAUUGUAUAGUCAAAAAAUGGACCUAAAAAGUACAUAGAUAUUUUUUUUGACUAGUAUGGUCCUUCGGCACAUCAAUCUCAAAUGUAUGAGAUCCUUUCUCAGAAAGAAUGUAACUCAUGUCUGCAGUUUCCUUAGCUGCGUCAUCUCUCUCUUUAUCAAAUUGAGUAACUGUUUCCUCUCUAGCAAUCCUCCUAAUUAUUGUACGAUGAUCAAUUCCUUCUUCACUUGACAAGUGCCUCUGUAGACUACCGUUAGUAGAAGGUAUUCCUAACCAGGUAUAAUUCUUCUUUUGCACAACCAACAAAACUUGGAUUAGACAAAACUGCAUCAAUCACAAUCUUCCCCCUCCUCAGACUUGCAAAUGGACGAACUUGUAGUUUUACAGUAGGGACCUCCCCGCAAGAGAACUCUUCAUUAUGAGGCCCAAUUGAACAAGACUCCAAGGUAAUGGUCAAAGGUGAAAUUUGCCGAACCUUACCAAAAUCAAGCUCGCGCUGAAUAUACUCACUCAGAACCGAACAAACAGAAGGUAAAAGCUUCGCUUCGACAAAAGUCUUGGCUUUUGCCUUCCCAUACCAAACCAAUAAGCACACCCCAGAUA
Non-coding RNA from Camellia sinensis, 1221 nucleotides. The record is from RefSeq and is a predicted model, not a curated record. NCBI's taxonomy places the organism in Eukaryota, Viridiplantae, Streptophyta, Magnoliopsida, Ericales, Theaceae.